AGAGGAACAGCUGGGUCAAAUGAUGGUUCCAUUCCCAGAUUUCCAAGGAAUCUCCAUACUGCUUUCCAAAUUGGUUGCACCAAUUUGAAGCCCCACCAGCAGU
This 103-nucleotide microRNA precursor is filed under the name Marmota monax (woodchuck). The record is from RNAcentral. Lineage: Eukaryota; Metazoa; Chordata; Mammalia; Rodentia; Sciuridae.